GUGAACGCUGGCGGUAGGCCUAACACAUGCAAGUCGAACGGCAGCACAGUAAGAGCUUGCUCUUACGGGUGGCGAGUGGCGGACGGGUGAGGAAUACAUCGGAAUCUACUUUUUCGUGGGGGAUAACGUAGGGAAACUUACGCUAAUACCGCAUACGACCUACGGGUGAAAGCAGGGGAUCUUCGGACCUUGCGCGAUUGAAUGAGCCGAUGUCGGAUUAGCUAGUUGGCGGGGUAAAGGCCCUCCAAGGCGACGAUCCGUAGCUGGUCUGAGAGGAUGAUCAGCCACACUGGAACUGAGACACGGUCCAGACUCCUACGGGAGGCAGCAGUGGGGAAUAUUGGACAAUGGGCGCAAGCCUGAUCCAGCCAUACCGCGUGGGUGAAGAAGGCCUUCGGGUUGUAAAGCCCUUUUGUUGGGAAAGAAAAGCAGCAGGUUAAUACCCCGCUGUUCUGACGGUACCCAAAGAAUAAGCACCGGCUAACUUCGUG
This 491-nucleotide ribosomal RNA is filed under the name uncultured bacterium. Its description in RNAcentral is "partial 16S ribosomal RNA". It matches the Rfam family "Bacterial small subunit ribosomal RNA", at positions 29 to 507 of the family's 1533-position model. The record is from RNAcentral.